This 550-nucleotide ribosomal RNA is filed under the name uncultured bacterium. RNAcentral describes it as "bacterial SSU rRNA". It matches the Rfam family "Bacterial small subunit ribosomal RNA", at positions 353 to 896 of the family's 1533-position model. The record is from RNAcentral.
AGUGGGGAAUUUUGGACAAUGGGCGCAAGCCUGAUCCAGCAAUGCCGCGUGCAGGAAGAAGGCCUUCGGGUUGUAAACUGCUUUUGUCAGGGAAGAAAUCCUCUGGGUUAAUACCUCGGGGGGAUGACGGUACCUGAAGAAUAAGCACCGGCUAACUACGUGCCAGCAGCCGCGGUAAUACGUAGGGUGCGAGCGUUAAUCGGAAUUACUGGGCGUAAAGCGUGCGCAGGCGGCUUUGCAAGACAGAUGUGAAAUCCCCAGGCUCAACCUGGGAACUGCAUUAGUGACUGUAUAGCUAGAGUGCGGCAGAGGGGGAUGGAAUUCCGCGUGUAGCAGUGAAAUGCGUAGAUAUGCGGAGGAACACCGAUGGCGAAGGCAAUCCCCUGGGCCUGCACUGACGCUCAUGCACGAAAGCGUGGGGAGCAAACAGGAUUAGAUACCCUGGUAGUCCACGCCCUAAACGAUGUCAACUGGUUGUUGGGCCUUCACUGGCUCAGUAACGAAGCUAACGCGUGAAGUUGACCGCCUGGGGAGUACGGCCGCAAGGUUA